Molecule: ribosomal RNA, 497 nt
Filed under: uncultured bacterium
Lineage: Bacteria
Description: partial 16S ribosomal RNA
Rfam family: Bacterial small subunit ribosomal RNA
Source: RNAcentral
GAUGAACGCUGGCGGCGUGCCUAAUACAUGCAAGUCGAGCGAACGGACGAGAAGCUUGCUUCUCUGUUGUUAGCGGCGGACGGGUGAGUAACACGUGGAUAACCUACCUAUAAGACUGGGAUAACUUCGGGAAACCGGAGCUAAUACCCGAUAAUAUUUUGAACCGCAUGGUUCAAAAGUGAAAGCCGGUCUUGCUGUCACUUAUAGAUGGAUCCGCGCUGCAUUAGCUAGUUGGUAAGGUAACGGCUUACCAAGGCAACGAUGCAUAGCCGACCUGCGAGAGUGAUCGCCCACACUGGAACUGAGACACGGUCCAGACUCCUACGGGAGGCAGCAGUAGGGAAUCUUCCGCAAUGGGCGAAAGCCUGACGGAGCAACGCCGCGGUAGUGAUGAAGGUCUUCGGAUCGUAAAACUCUGUUAUUAGGGAAGAACAUAUGUGUAAGUAACUGUGCACAUCUUGACGGUACCUAAUCAGAAAGCCACGGCUAACUACGUG